UUUUGAUUUAGUCCAGUUGUGCUGACCUCUCCUGUAUUGUGUGUUGUCUUUCCCUUCACCUAAAAUAGUUCUUAUCCGCUAUCUACUUAGUGUGGUUGUUGGGUGCUGUUGAGUAAAUUCCAACUUAUUGCGACCAUAUAGGACAAAGUAGAACUGCCCCAAAGGGUUUAUUGGGUGUAAUCUUUACAGGAGCAGAUUGCCAGGUCUUUCUCCCUGGGAGUUGCUGGGUAGAUUUGAACCACCUUUUGGUUUACAGCGGAACGCUUAACCUUUGCACCACCAGGGUUCCAUUCAUAAAGAUUAUAGCCAAGAAAAUCCUAUGUAUUAGUUGUACACUGUAACACAUGGGAUUGCCAUGAGUUGGGACUGGACAAUAACAGAUUUGUUUUAUUUAAUGUGACCAAUAUUGUGACUCCAUGUAUGCAGAAUAGAACGGUCAUAGCCUCCUCUUUGACUCCAUUACCCAGCAAGGAGUAGAAGAUGCUCAUGAUGUGGUUGUUGGAUUCAUUCAUUCAGUUCAGUGCACCUUCCUCACUCCAGGGACACUUCACCCUGUUUAAUGCCAUGUGGUUCUCCCUCCGACCCCUUCUGAGUCCCAUACCUGGCAGGACUGGCUCUCCUGAGCAUCUAGAAGCUGUGAUCCACAGAGCUUGGACAGGCAGCAUCUGUUUUCCUGAUGUGGACAGUGGUGCAUGAGGGGAAGCCCACAGACAGAGAGCCAGGAGCUGGAGACGGAAUCUUCCUCAGCUGUGUGUGACCCCACUGGGACUCCACCUAGAAAGCAGAAACAGUUUCCCUCCAGGGCUCUGACAGCAUGUGGUAUGAGGUUCUUCUUCUGUGGUUAGUCACUUUUCUGACCUCAUCCCUGAGCUUCCUAUUGGGGCUCCUUCACAGUCCUCUGACACCAGGGCCCUGUGCGCCUAACUCCAAAGAUGCUGCUGCUGCUGUUGCCCUUGCUGUGGGCAGGGCUGGACUGACCCUGUUUAUGGCUACUGGUUCCAGAAUGAGGACAAUUAUGUCUCCAAUGCUCCAGCAGCCACUAAUGACCCAGCUAGAAAAGUGCGGGAGGAGGCCAAGAACCAAUUCCACCUCAUUGGAGACCCACAGGAUUAUAACCGUUCCCUGGAUAUCAGAGAUGCCAGGAUGGUGGACACAGGAUCAUAUGUCUUUAAGGUCAUCAGAGGACGUUAUGUGAAAUACAGUUUCAAAUAUAAUCAGCUCUAUGUGCAUGUGACCAGUAAGGAUUGGGGUCAGGGAAAGGCUACAGGGGAAGGUCAUGGCCCCCAGGACAGGAGAGGGGUGGAACCCCUCGAUCUUCAUCCUGGGAGAGACUGAGGGGAACAGGACACCGGCGCUGGCUGGGGAGAAGCAAGCCAUCUUGAGACAGAGGUUGCUUUCAGGGGCCACUGAGGAUCCCCAUCUCCGUGGUCUCGAUACCUAUCUCUCUCUUUCUCCCCAGCCCUGACACAGACAUCCACAUCCAGGGAAUCCUCAAGUCAGGCCACCCCACGAACAUAACUUGUAAGGUGCCGUGGGCCUGUAAGAGGGGGACGCCCCUCACCUUCUCCUGGAUUGGGGUUGCCCUCAAAACCCUGGGCUCCAAGACUCCCCACUCCUCGGAGCUCACCCUCACCCCAGAGCCACGUCACCGCGGUACCAACCUUACCUGCUGAGCGACUUUCCCUGGAGCAGGUGCGGCCACGGAGAGUACCACCAGCUCAAUGUGUCCUAUGCUCCACAGAACCUGACUAUCAGUGUGUUCCAGGAGAAUAACACAGAAGUAGACCACCAGGUCUAUUUUCUAGCCUGUCUUCGUCUGAAAGCUCUGCUGAAACUUUUCUACUACGGGUGAUCCUGCUGAUAUUUGAAUUCUGGUGGCACAGCUUCCAGCAUCACAGCAACACUCAAGCCACCACAGUAUGACAAACUGACAGAUGUGUGGUGGAAGCACCUCUGGGGAGUUUCAAGUCAUCAACCUUUUGGGUAACAGUUGAGCACUUAACCACUUGCACCACCCUGGGACAAAUAAAAUGACAGGCCAUCAAAAUGUUUAAGUAAAAGAGUGACUAAGUGUGAUUUAUAUUUAAAAAAGAAAAAAAAAAAAACUAGCUGAUGUAUUGAGAAGGCACUUUGGAAGGGGCCAAAGUAGAAGCAGAAAGACUAAUCGGUAGGUUAUCACCAUCACAUAGAUGAGUGAUGAUUAGGGCUUGGACCAGGGCAGUGACUCUCCAUUGGGGGUGAUUUUGCUACCUAAUUGACAAUGCCUGGAGACAUUUUGGUUGUCACAUCUGUCACAUUUGGUCGACAUCUGGUGGGUAGAGGCCAGAGAUACUGCUAAAAAUUGUAUCCUGUUCCUGUUGCCGUGGAGUUGAUCCCGAUUCAUUGCAAGCUUAUAGGACAGAGUAGAACUGCCCCACAGGGUUUCCAAGGCUGUAAGCUUUGUGGAAGUAUACUGCCAUGUCUUUCUCCUGUGGAGCAGCUGAUGGGUUCAAACUGCAGACCUUUAGUUAGUAGCCGAGCACUUCACCACUGGACCACCAGGGCUCCUUGAAAAUCUUAUAAUGCACAGAAUGCAUGUCAAUAGUGCUGAGGCUGAGAAAUCCUGAACAAGGCAAUGGCAGUGGGGAUGAGGGUAAGUGAAUACAUUUUUUAAAUACCUUAAAAUUUGAACUGAUAGCUCUCAUGGCUAGUUUGGAUAUGGAGAUAAGGCCAAGGAAGAAAUCAGAAUAAAGCUAAGAUGUGGAUAGAUGUUAUAUCACAUGGCGCUGAGCUUUAGAAAACUGGUGAAGGAGAUGGUUUGAGGUGACAAAUCAGGAGUUCUUCAAGAUCAUGUAAAGUUUGAGAUGUCCAUUCUAUAUCGCUAAGUAGAUGUCAAAUAAAUGGGGAAUUUCCAGGGUUAAAAUACAAUUUUAUGAGUAGUCAGCAUGACUUUUCUUUUCUUAUUGUAUUUUAGAUGAAGGUUUACAGAACCAAACUAGUUUCUCAUUAAACAGUUAGUACACAUAUUGUUUUAUGACAUUGGUUAACAACCUCACGACAUGUCAACACUUUCCCUUCUCAAUCUUGGGUUCUCUAUUACCAGCUUUCUUGUCCCUUCUGGUCCUUCCCCAGGGCUGGUGUGCCUGUUUCGUCUCAUUUUGUUUUAUGGGCCUGUCU
Molecule: long non-coding RNA, 3156 nt
Organism: Loxodonta africana (African savanna elephant)
Lineage: Eukaryota; Metazoa; Chordata; Mammalia; Proboscidea; Elephantidae
Exons: 4
Source: RefSeq, a predicted model, not a curated record